RNAcentral lists this ribosomal RNA (253 nucleotides) under uncultured bacterium. RNAcentral's name for it is "partial 16S ribosomal RNA". It matches the Rfam family "Bacterial small subunit ribosomal RNA", at positions 524 to 776 of the family's 1533-position model. The record is from RNAcentral.
UACAGAGGGGGCGAGCGUUGUUCGGAAUUACUGGGCGUAAAGGGCGCGUAGGCGGCCAACUAAGUCGGACGUGAAAUCCCCUGGCUCAACCAGGGAACUGCGUCCGAUACUGAUUGGCUUGAAUCCGGGAGAGGGAUGUGGAAUUCCAGGUGUAGCGGUGAAAUGCGUAGAUAUCUGGAGGAACACCGGUGGCGAAGGCGGCAUCCUGGACCGGUAUUGACGCUGAGGCGCGGAAGCCAGGGGAGCAAACGGG